Molecule: long non-coding RNA, 935 nt
Organism: Gavialis gangeticus (Gharial)
Lineage: Eukaryota; Metazoa; Chordata; Crocodylia; Gavialidae
Exons: 2
Source: RefSeq, a predicted model, not a curated record
AUUUUUUUUUCUUUUACUGUAUUCUAUACUUGUCAAAGAGUUCUAUGGUUACAUGGAUAUACGCAGUAAUAUUAUAUGAGGAUGGAUUUUCUUUUAUCCCAAAUAGCAUGAAAAAGAUGUUACUUAAAAUAUCCUGCAUGCUGAGGCUUAUUUUUAAUGCUCCUAUCUAUAUUCUGGCAAUGAUGAAGAUAGGACACUGAAUGUUGCUAUAUGUUUUCUCAGUAUAGCAAAAUGUUUUUUAUGCACUUGUGACAGCUCUUUUUGCAAUUAAAGGCAUAAUGAUCUACCAGCAUUUAUGUGACUCUGUGCUGUAAAGAGGAAUCUGCAAUAUCAUAACAACCGCAGCAGGUGGCAGUAGAACAAGGGCCACAGAAGGGAGAAGACAAUCCAUUUUCCUUUCAUACUAAAGAGAAGUGAAGGAUUUUAAAUCUCUGGCUGCUGGCUGGAUAACCUCAUGAAGCCCGCAUGCUCGAGACCAAGCACCUGCCGGGAAUGUGAAAAUUCUGGUUUGUUGAAACUGGAUCAGCACCCAGUCCCAGAGCAGCGGCCGCAUGUGGGGCAGUGCCAUGGGGCAGUGGGUGGCGGUGGCAGCCGUCACAUGCAAGCUUCCACCUCCGCUGCUCCGGGACCGGCUGCCACUACUCCCCAAUGAAGUGUAGUUUUAAAAAUUGCCGGAUUUUCAAUAAUUCCGGAUUUUGAGGUUAUACUGUACAAUGUAUCUUCAGUGUGAAUCUACUGUUAAAACACAGUAGGGAUUCUAUAGUUGGAAAUGUGGAUCACAUUAAUCUGUAUAUUUAUUCGUAAUUUGUACAAAAAGGGAAUCUGUGACCUCUCUCUCUGUCAGGUGCUCUUUUUUUGGUCACAACAAAGUAUUUGACAAGACAAAUAUUUACCAGUAAUAACACUGAUCAUUUUAAUAAAAAUGCAUUGAAUUA